UUUACAGCUGGAUCCUUUGGCAAGUCCAGAUUUAUGUGUGUUGACAUGAAAAUGAAUUGUCGAUACAAGAAGUGUGGGAAGCAAUGCUGACAGUAUUGUAGACUACCAGGACACAAACACAUCUUUGUCUCCAAGAAUGAGCCCUUAAAUCGUGCUCCACACCUUGGCUGCACUUUGCAAUCACCUGGGAAAUGCUAACAUUCCUGGCGCCUGAAUUCAACCCACGGAGAUUCUCAUUUAAUUGAUUUGGGCGUCAGGAGUUUUUGAAGACCCCUAGGUGAUUCUAAGUGCAGGGCGAGGUAGGAACCACUGUUUGGAGUAGAGGUAAGUACCUACCAAAUGGAAAUUUUUUUUCUUGUACACUAAUGUUGCUAAAUUGUUCCUUCUGGCAAAAAAAAAAAAAAUGCAGUUUUUAAAGCAGUUUUCUCCUUCAAGUAUGGUCCUAGGACCAGCAGAAUCAGGAUCACCUGGGAACCCUUAGAAAUGCAAAUUUUCUGGCCCCACCCAAGACCUGCCAGGGCGAGGGGGCGGGGCCCAGCGGUCUUUAAAUAAGCCCUUCAGGGCCCUCGCAGCACCCAGCCCCAGCGAGUUGGAGAGCUACUGCCUUAGAGAGAGAAGAGGAGCACUGUGUCCAAGGAGUGUUAUCGCAAAGUAAACUGAAAGAGAACCGAGACCCAGUUACUUAUUAGGUGUUCUCUCUUCAAAACCCCGCUUGAUUCACAGUCAACUUGAGAAGACACCCUGUGCAAACAGCCUCCAGGUUCUCAGCUCCGCUCAGUUCCAAAGGUAACAAGGCCUAACCCCCUGUUUCCUACGUGUUUUUCAGGCCCCUCCUUGGACUGGUUCUGUUUUGCAGAGUGUGUGGAGCUAUUUGCAUCCCUGCAGUCUCUCUGUUGACUAUUCCCGUCCCCCACCCGUGGCUGUUGCAUCGACCCGCCCAGGUGGAGGCUUGCAACCAAAAUUUGAUGAAAUCGUUCAGUGCUCUGGCUAGAGAAGGAGCAGUUCCAGAAAGGAAUCGAAGUAGCUGUUGACAGAUUCAAAGCUGCCCCGGAUGUGCCGAAGGCCCCAGUCUGAAUAGGACUCCUCUGCGUCAGGGCUGCUGUCACUCUGCGCCAGGCCACCCCCCAGGCUGAGCCACAAAAUCAAGAAGCUGAUGGCCCGCGUCAUCCUGGAACCAGAUAAGAAACAAUAAUUAUGCUGGUGUACAGAGUAUCUGAGGAAGAAUACGCAGAAGAAAGAAUACUCUACAAAUACUCUGCAUCAAACAGGACCUUCAGGAUUUAAAAAGUUUUAUUAAUGAUUAUUUUCUAGAAGCAAUGGUAGGCCUUAAUUUUUUUUUUAAAAAAGAUGAAGAGUUUCUCUUUCCCUUUUCUCACCAAAAUAAGGUUCAGACAUAAUAUGAGAGAAAUAAUAAAAC
This is a long non-coding RNA of Camelus dromedarius (Arabian camel), 1417 nucleotides long. RefSeq lists it as uncharacterized. The record is from RefSeq and is a predicted model, not a curated record. Lineage: Eukaryota; Metazoa; Chordata; Mammalia; Artiodactyla; Camelidae. The transcript is spliced from 3 exons.